Molecule: long non-coding RNA, 557 nt
Organism: Olea europaea var. sylvestris
Lineage: Eukaryota; Viridiplantae; Streptophyta; Magnoliopsida; Lamiales; Oleaceae
Exons: 2
Source: RefSeq, a predicted model, not a curated record
UCAGGCGGUCGUUGACUAUAUUAAACCAAAUCCAUUUCAUUUACAUAUCAAUCCAUUUACAUAUAAAUCCAUUUCACACAAAUACAUACACAUAGGUAGGGAGAAGCCGAGAAUAGAGAAAAAAAAAAAAAAAGGAAAGAAAAAAGGAAAAGGAAGGAAGGAAGGAAGGAAAUGGAAGAGAAAAAGAAGGAAGAUAUAGGUUCCAAUUUUACAAGUUCACAGAGGGGCAUUGGCCAUGUUCUAUCCUAUACAGAGGGGUCUCGACCUGACAUUGGUCAUGAUCGUGUACAUAUAGCUCGCAGAAGGACCUUGAUCGUGUUCCAGAAUUGAUUAUCAGAGGUCUUUAAGAUCCACUUUCGUUCACGGAGGUAGCCAAAGAUCCAUGGCGAAAGUGUUUGGCCCAAGGGAAAGAUUUCAGAUUUUAGUCAGAGGAUACAGUUUUGGUGGAUUACAUGUGAUGUGAUGAGAUGAUGAUCUAGAUAUCAGCUGAUAACUAUAUCGUGAUUAUGAAAUGAUAUUUACAGUGUUAUGAGAAUGUCUCACUUUUUUUGCUAUAA